AAUGCUGCUGUUUUCCGCUUCUUUUUUUACUUUAGCGCCUGAUUUCAGGAGGCUUCUGCGCGUAAGAGAAGAAACGGAAAAUAGCGCCAAAGCCUCCCUCGCGGAGGCUUUUUUUUU
Molecule: non-coding RNA, 117 nt
Filed under: Chimaeribacter arupi
Lineage: Bacteria; Pseudomonadati; Pseudomonadota; Gammaproteobacteria; Enterobacterales; Yersiniaceae
Description: Phenylalanine leader peptide
Rfam family: Phenylalanine leader peptide
Source: RNAcentral